GGGCCCGUGGCUCAGUUGGUAGAGCGUCCGCCUUGCACGCGGAAGGUCAGGGGUUCGAAUCCCCUCGGGUCCAC
RNAcentral lists this transfer RNA (74 nucleotides) under Microgenomates bacterium OLB22. Its description in RNAcentral is "tRNA-Ala". It matches the Rfam family "tRNA". Rfam says of the family: Transfer RNA (tRNA) molecules are approximately 80 nucleotides in length. Lineage: Bacteria; Candidatus Microgenomatota. The record is from RNAcentral.